This 28-nucleotide small RNA is filed under the name Bombyx mori (domestic silkworm). RNAcentral describes it as "ovarian small RNA-22276". The record is from RNAcentral. Lineage: Eukaryota; Metazoa; Arthropoda; Insecta; Lepidoptera; Bombycidae.
UAGCAGGUAUGUUGCGGUGUACUAUAGA